UCCUAAGGCGAGCUCAGCGAGGACAGAAACCUCGCGUAGAGCAAAAGGGCAAAUGCUUGCUUGAUCUUUUGCUCUACGCGAGACAGUUGAUAAGGCAAGUGUCUGCCUUAUCAACUGUCGAUGGUAGGUUAUGCGCCUACCAUGGUUGUUACGGGUAACGGAGAAUCAGGGUUCGAUUCCGGAGAGGGAGCCUGAGAAACGGCUACCACAUCCAAGGAAGGCA
RNAcentral lists this ribosomal RNA (223 nucleotides) under Ixodes scapularis (black-legged tick). RNAcentral describes it as "eukaryotic small subunit ribosomal RNA". It matches the Rfam family "Eukaryotic small subunit ribosomal RNA", at positions 192 to 427 of the family's 1831-position model. The record is from RNAcentral. Lineage: Eukaryota; Metazoa; Arthropoda; Arachnida; Ixodida; Ixodidae.